This 238-nucleotide long non-coding RNA is filed under the name Lathyrus oleraceus (garden pea). Its description in RNAcentral is "Pisum sativum (pea) long non-coding RNA (PSAT_LNC011777)". Lineage: Eukaryota; Viridiplantae; Streptophyta; Magnoliopsida; Fabales; Fabaceae. The record is from RNAcentral.
GGUAGAAUGGGUUUAAAUAAUAACAAAGAGACGAAUUUUGGUCCCUAAGAGACCUCAUGAUGCGAAUGUAUGUAUGCAAAAAGGAAAUACUCUGUGGGGAUAUGUGUCCACAAAGAAGAAAAGAAAUAUGGAGAAACUGACUAUCCAUAUGAGUAAUACACUCAAUGGGACAGAGACUCUAGGGACUCUAACGGGAUAAGAAAAAGAAUAAAAAUGCGUGAGCAGGUCACGAUUUAAG